RNAcentral lists this long non-coding RNA (403 nucleotides) under Mytilus galloprovincialis (Mediterranean mussel). Lineage: Eukaryota; Metazoa; Mollusca; Bivalvia; Mytilida; Mytilidae. The record is from RNAcentral.
AUUUUUUCUCUCCAUUCACUAUAAAAUUUACGCAAUAUAUUAUUUGUGUAAAGAAAAAAUAACAAAGUUGUCUAUAUAUCUUUUAAUUGGUUAUAGAAAUUUAGAAAAGAGCACUCGUCUUGGCUUUUCCUUUCUCAACUGUGUGAUGGUUCCCUCAAUCAACUCUAAUAUUCUCCCAUUACUUUGUACCAUCUCCUGUUUGAUCUUGUUUAAAUUAUCAAUCUGGGAGGAAAUUUCCCCCCAGCUCAUGGGACUUAUAGUUUCACGUGUUCAUCACACUUUUUCCUGAAAAGAAAUAAAAUACAUAUAGAAAGAAAGAUAACUCUAAAUUUAUUUUUACAUCAUUGAUGAUAAUAAAGCACUUUUUUUUUUUUUUUUUGUCUAUUCUUUUAUAUUCUAUAAC